AGAACGAACGUUGGCGGCGUGGAUUAGGCAUGCAAGUCGAACGCGAACGCCGGGCUUCGGCCUGGCUAGUAGAGUGGCGAACGGGUGAGUAACGUGUGGGCAAUCUACCCUUGAGUGGGGAAUAACCAUUCUAACGAGUGGCUAAUUCCGCAUGUGACCAUUUUCUCGCAUGGGAGAAUGGAGAAAGGCGGGGAUCUUCGGACCCGUCGCUCGAGGAGGAGCCCGCAUCCCAUUAGCUUGUUGGCGGGGUAAUGGCCCACCAAGGCGACGAUGGGUAGCCGAUCUGAGAGGAUGACCGGCCACACUGGGACUGAGAUACGGCCCAGACUCCUACGGGAGGCAGCAGUCGAGAGGCUUCGGCAAUGGGGGAAACCCUGACCGAGCGACGCCGCGUGCGGGAUGAAGGCUUUCGAGUCGUAAACCGCUGUCAGGAGGGAAGAACCCCAUCUAGUUAAUACCUAGGUGGUUGACGGUACCUCCAAAGGAAGCUCCGGCUAACUCCGUGCCAGCAGCCGCGGUAAUACGGGGGGAGCGAACGUUGUUCGGAUUUACUGGGCGUAAAGGGCGUGUAGGCGGCUUCGCAAGUCAGGGGUGAAAUGUCCAGGCUCAACCUGGGACCUGCCUCUGAAACUGCAGAGCUUGAGGUCGUGAGAGGAGAUUGGAAUUCCUAGUGUAGCGGUGAAAUGCAUAGAUAUUAGGAAGAACACCAGUGGCGAAGGCGAAUCUCUGGCACGAUUCUGACGCUGAUGCGCGAAAGCUAGGGGAGCGAACGGGAUUAGAUACCCCGGUAGUCCUAGCCGUAAACGAUGGGCACUAAGUGUUGGCAGAUCGACCCUGUCAGUGCUGAAGCUAACGCAUUAAGUGCCCCGCCUGGGGAGUACGACCGCAAGGUUG
This 894-nucleotide ribosomal RNA is filed under the name uncultured bacterium. RNAcentral's name for it is "bacterial SSU rRNA". It matches the Rfam family "Bacterial small subunit ribosomal RNA", at positions 26 to 896 of the family's 1533-position model. The record is from RNAcentral.